This 664-nucleotide long non-coding RNA is filed under the name Callithrix jacchus (white-tufted-ear marmoset). RNAcentral's name for it is "lncRNA (ENSCJAG00000076068.1)". Lineage: Eukaryota; Metazoa; Chordata; Mammalia; Primates; Cebidae. The record is from RNAcentral.
CCUCCCCCAGCCUCCCCACCACCACAGAGUGGCAGGAGGGCCCCCAUGGUCCUGAGCCCUUCUCCCCAAGCCACAGAGCAGUCCCAGAGACGGGAGCGGGCUCCCUGGUGCCACACAGCUGAGGGGCUGUGGCCAGUGGACAGGCUGGAGUGGCCAAACCCCUCUCAGGCCUCAGGGCCCAGCGCCCAGAAUCUCUGGCAAAGGAGGAAGGAUGAGGGAGAGGUCGUGCUUGACAAGUUCCCGUAAGAAGCUGGUGCAGACCUGGCCGCAGGCAGAGGCUUGGAGGAAGGACCCAGGAAGGGCUGGCUGCACAGGCGUAAGACACCUGCAGACACCUGCCUGGGAAGGAAAGAGGAAGCCUCAGGUGGACAGAGAAGGUGGGGGCAGAUUCUGCAGGACUGGAGAUGGACCCAGGGAUCUGCUUCUGUCAGGGUCAGGGAAAUGCAGGCUGCCCACAACCUGAGAGAGCCCAGAGGCGGACUCUUCCCUGGUUGAGCCUGCAGAUGAGAACUCAGUCCAGUACUGCCAGCUGCAGCCAGGUGAAGUGGAUUCCUCCCCAGCUGAGCCUGCAGAUGAGAACACAGCCCAGCACUGCAGCUGCAACAAGGUGGGAUCCUGCAUGGAGGACCCAGCUGAGCCAAGGCCAGAAUUCAGACCCACAGAG